AUGAACGCUGGCGGCGUGCCUAAUACAUGCCAGUCGAGCGAACAGACGAGGAGCUUGCUCCUCUGACGUUAGCGGCGGACGGGUGAGUAACACGUGGAUAACCUACCUAUAAGACUGGGAUAACUUCGGGAAACCGGAGCUAAUACCGGAUAAUAUAUUGAACCGCAUGGUUCAAUAGUGAAAGACGGUUUUGCUGUCACUUAUAGAUGGAUCCGCGCCGCAUUAGCUAGUUGGUAAGGUAACGGCUUACCAAGGCAACGAUGAGUAGCCGACCUGAGAGGGUGAUCGGCCACACUGGAACUGAGACACGGUCCAGACUCCUACGGGAGGCAGCAGUAGGGAAUCUUCCGCAAUGGGCGAAAGCUUGACGGAGCAACGCCGCGUGAGUGAUGAAGGUCUUCGGAUCGUAAAACUCUGUUAUUAGGGAAGAACAAAUGUGUAAGUAACUAUGCACGUCUUGACGGUACCUAAUCAGAAAGCCACGGCUAACUACGUG
Molecule: ribosomal RNA, 496 nt
Filed under: uncultured bacterium
Lineage: Bacteria
Description: partial 16S ribosomal RNA
Rfam family: Bacterial small subunit ribosomal RNA
Source: RNAcentral